AGGUGCAUAUGGCCGUGUGGGGAGGCACUUGGGGAACGCUCUUGCAUCCCAGCCAUGGCUGCAGGAUUUCCCAUUCCCAAACCUUGGUCAGAUGGAGAAGGCAGCUGUGAGGAAGCGGAAGAUGCCCCAGGACACCCAGGCAGACAAGGAGCUGAGGAUGGAGACCAGGGAGGACAAAUCCCCACGGCAGAACCUUGUGGAAGAGGCCAUUUUGAGCAGCUCCAUGGUGCAGGAAUCCUGUGGGGAGGAAAAGCCCCAGAGAUCCCGCAGGAGUAGGGGCUCCUCACUCAGGCCUGGGUGCUCUGAGGAGGAAAGACCCACCCUGUGCCGGGAAGGCGGUCGGAGAUUCAGCCGGGGCUCUGAGCUGGUGGUCC
Molecule: non-coding RNA, 374 nt
Organism: Cyanistes caeruleus (blue tit)
Lineage: Eukaryota; Metazoa; Chordata; Aves; Passeriformes; Paridae
Source: RefSeq, a predicted model, not a curated record